GUGAGGAAUAUUGGUCAAUGGACGGAAGUCUGAACCAGCCAAGUAGCGUGCAGGAUGACGGCCCUAUGGGUUGUAAACUGCUUUUAUGCGGGGGUAAAGUGAGUGACGUGUCAUUCAUUGCAAGUACCGCAAGAAUAAGGACCGGCUAAUUCCGUGCCAGCAGCCGCGGUAAUACGGAAGGUCCUGGUGUUAUCCGGAUUUAUUGGGUUUAAAGGGAGCGUAGGCCGUCAGGCAAGCGUGUUGUGAAAUGUCGUGGCUCAACCAUGGACUUGCAGCGCGAACUGCCCGACUUGAGUGCGCGGAAAGCAGGCGGAAUUUGUGGUGUAGCGGUGAAAUGCUUAGAUAUCACGAAGAACCCCGAUUGCGAAGGCAGCCUGCUGUAGCGCUACUGACGCUGAAGCUCGAAAGUGCGGGUAUCGAACAGGAUUAGAAACCCCGGUAGUCC
RNAcentral lists this ribosomal RNA (445 nucleotides) under uncultured bacterium. RNAcentral describes it as "partial 16S ribosomal RNA". It matches the Rfam family "Bacterial small subunit ribosomal RNA", at positions 354 to 796 of the family's 1533-position model. The record is from RNAcentral.